CGCAUCUCUCAUAGUCUCGUUCGAUUCCCACUCCGGACCUCUCCUCUCUCGCCCACGACCUAUCCGCCGCCAUCGCUGUCCUUCCCUUUGGCUCGCAGAUCCUCGUGCCUCAGUCCUCGGCCGCCCUCUCCUUUUCCUGUCUUCUCUCAUGACGGCAACGAGCUCCACCUCAGGCCGGUUGCGGCACCACACCACGGGAGCCAGUACCUGAUUUUUCCGACACAGUAUCUGUAGUCCUUGGGAGUGUUGCUGCCAGAUCCAACCUCCCCGAGCACCCGGUCAGAGGUACGCCGCUGGACACGUUCCUUCAUCUGCACCAAGUUUAUUCUACAUCUAACUUGUUUAGGCCCUGCUUGGAUUCGGUGUAAGUUUAUACAACCGGAUUUAAAUUAUCAGCCGCAGUGUAUUUUCCGUCUGGAAUAAAAACGAGGGCUGGAGGUCUGUAUCGAUUACGGAGGUAUUUGGGAGGCAACCGACAAUCCAAGCGGGGCCUUAUAUGUGGAUGGCAACAGAAGAUGAUCAAUAACUUUCAAGAAAUCUGAACCUGAAGUUUUCAAAAGCAGCCAUUGUCAGGUCUUAUCAUAGAGCCAAUCGACAGUGAGCACUUGUGCCGUUGUGCGUGGGAAACCUUCAAGUUCUGUUGAGUUCAUGUGAUUUCUUACCCAACUCAUCCCUGCAGAAACGCCCUGGACUAAUUGCAUAACUGUUUUUGUUUUAGAGGUGGCAUCAGACAAGAGGUUGUUCGUCUUAUCAUAAAGUGCCACAAGAAUUAAAGCCCAACAGAAACUGAAUUUGUUUCCCAUUUACCCAAAUUGAAAUUAUACUGCAGCAGCUUCUCCGAGAGCUCUCGGAUCGACAGGUGAAGGUACAAGAUGGUGUCCAUUCAACGAAGGGGUGGCAUUUCGAUCCAUGGUGCCACUGCACAUUCAGCUCCAUCUCCAUCUGUCUUGGCUGGCGAUCAUCCCUUCUUCCUAGCCGCCAGCCUCCGUGAUAAUUUUAGAUUGUUGGAUUGUGAAGCGAGAUUCUAGCCAUCAGCGGAGAGAUGAUUUAUUUGGGAUGAAAGGAUCUCCCAGUCUUGCAAAUUACUGUCAAUCUGCCAUUCCUCCAAUCAGUGAAGGCCAGCUGCUGCUCCUGAUCAUGGUUUAACUUUCAUAUGUGUUUUGAACUAUAUUCAUACUCCAUGUGCUUUGGAGUAUAUUCAUAGUUCAGUAGCGAGUAUAAAUCAACUCGAUGUACAGAUGGACAUAUACAAUUAUAAAAAAGAAUAGACCUCCCAGCUCAAUAUUUUUCUCUUUUGUGUUAUUACUUACUACUGGUUGGAGUACCUUGUAUUUCGUAAGGAAAGGGA
Molecule: ribosomal RNA, 1348 nt
Filed under: Triticum aestivum (bread wheat)
Lineage: Eukaryota; Viridiplantae; Streptophyta; Magnoliopsida; Poales; Poaceae
Description: partial small subunit ribosomal RNA
Source: RNAcentral